Molecule: ribosomal RNA, 491 nt
Filed under: uncultured bacterium
Lineage: Bacteria
Description: partial 16S ribosomal RNA
Rfam family: Bacterial small subunit ribosomal RNA
Source: RNAcentral
AGUGAACGCUGGCGGUAGGCCUAACACAUGCAAGUCGAACGGCAGCACAGUAAGAGCUUGCUCUUACGGGUGGCGAGUGGCGGACGGGUGAGGAAUACAUCGGAAUCUACUUUUUCGUGGGGGAUAACGUAGGGAAACUUACGCUAAUACCGCAUACGACCUACGGGUGAAAGCAGGGGAUCUUCGGACCUUGCGCGAUUGAAUGAGCCGAUGUCGGAUUAGCUAGUUGGCGGGGUAAAGGCCCACCAAGGCGACGAUCCGUAGCUGGUCUGAGAGGAUGAUCAGCCACACUGGAACUGAGACACGGUCCAGACUCCUACGGGAGGCAGCAGUGGGGAAUAUUGGACAAUGUGCGCAGGCCUGAUCCAGCCAUACCGCGUGGGUGAAGAAGGCCUUCGGGUUGUAAAGCCCUUUUGUUGGGAAAGAAAAGCAGCAGGUUAAUACCCCGCUGUUCUGACGGGACCCAAAGAAUAAGCACCGGCUAACUUCGU